This 253-nucleotide ribosomal RNA is filed under the name uncultured bacterium. RNAcentral's name for it is "partial 16S ribosomal RNA". It matches the Rfam family "Bacterial small subunit ribosomal RNA", at positions 524 to 776 of the family's 1533-position model. The record is from RNAcentral.
UACGUAGGGUGCGAGCGUUGAUCGGAAUUACUGGGCGUAAAGCGUGCGCAGGCGGUUUUGUAAGCCAGAUGUGAAAUCCCCGGGCUUAACCUGGGAAUGGCAUUUGGGACUGCAAGGCUGGAGUGCGGCAGAGGAGACUGGAAUUCCUGGUGUAGCAGUGAAAUGCGUAGAUAUCAGGAGGAAUACCGAUGGCGAAGGCAGGUCUCUGGGCUGACACUGACGCUCAUGCACGAAAGCGUGGGGAGCAAACAGG